This is a long non-coding RNA of Amphiprion ocellaris (clown anemonefish), 401 nucleotides long. NCBI's taxonomy places the organism in Eukaryota, Metazoa, Chordata, Actinopteri, Pomacentridae. The record is from Ensembl.
CGGCACGUCUGGUAGCAUCUUUGGCUGCUGUUGAUCUUGUUUUUGGAGUAAAACACGGUGGAAGCUGAAUUAGUGAGGAUGACUCCUGCUCCUGUCAUCUCUAAGCUCCUCACACAUCUUUACCUGCACAUGAGGAAAAUCACUCCUGUAGAAUGCAGUGGUUCAUCAGAACCUCUGGGGAUGUCCUGUGGAUCCUGUGGAUCCUGUGGGUUGCAGGGUGGGUCCUACCUAGACCAGGCUGAUCCUGGACCAUCCCACAGAUGCUCCAUCAGAUCUGGAUGUGGGGAGUGUGGAACCCAGAUGUUCAGAGGGAGAUGAUGCCACAUCUGGUCCAGCUGAUGGAAGGUCUUGAAGUUCUCUGACUGGCCUGGACUGAAGAUGGUCGUCUCACUGGAUUUAAG